This 948-nucleotide ribosomal RNA is filed under the name uncultured fungus. Its description in RNAcentral is "SSU rRNA". It matches the Rfam family "Eukaryotic small subunit ribosomal RNA", at positions 564 to 1532 of the family's 1831-position model. Lineage: Eukaryota; Fungi. The record is from RNAcentral.
GUGCCAGCAGCCGCGUAAUUCCAGUCGUCCAAUAGCGUAUAUUAAAGUUGUUGUGGUUAAAAAGCUCGUAGUUGAACCUUGGGCCUGGCUGGCCGGUCCGCCUCACCGCGUGCACUGGUCCGGCCGGGCCUUUCCCUCAGUGGAACCCCAUACCCUUCACUGGGCGUGGCGGGGAAACAGGACAUUUACUUUGAAAAAAUUAGAGUGCUCCAGGCAGGCCUAUGCUCGAAUACAUUGGCAUGGAAUAAUAAAAUAGGACGCGCGGUUCUAUUUUGUUGGUUUAUAGGACCGCCGUAAUGAUUAAUAGGGACAGUCGGGGGCAUCAGUAUUCAACUGUCAGAGGUGAAAUUCUUGGAUCAGUUGAAGACUAACUACUGCGAAAGCAUUUGCCAAGGAUGUUUUCAUUAAUCAGGAACGAAAGUUAGGGGAUCGAAGACGAUCAGAUACCGUCGUAGUCUUAACCAUAAACUAUGCCGACUAGGGAUCGGACGGUGUUAUUCAUGACCCGUUCGGCACCUUACGAGAAAUCAAAGUGCUUGGGCUCCAGGGGGAGUAUGGUCGCAAGGCUGAAACUUUAAAGAAAUUGACGGAAGGGCACCACCAGGGGUGGAGCCUGCGCCUUAAUUUUGACUCAACACGGGGAAACUCACCAGGGUCCAGACACAAUAAGGAUUGACAGAUUGAGAGCUCUUUCUUGAUUUUGUGGGUGGUGGUGCAUGGGCCGUUCUUAGUUGUGGGGUGACUUGUCUGCUUAAUUGCGAUACGGACGAGACCUUAACUUGCUAAAUAGCCGGCAUUGCUUCGGCAGUGCGCUGGCUUCUUAAGAAGGGACUUUCGGCUCAAGCCGGAGGAAAGUUUGAAGGCAAUAACAGGUCUGUGAUGCCUUUAGAUGUUCUUGGCCGGCACCGCGCGCUAACACCUGACGGGGAUCAGCGAAGUUCUCUUUGG